AAUGGGCGGAGCCUGACCAGCAACGCCGCGUGGAGUGAGACGGCCUUCGGGUUGUAAACUCCUUUUACGGGGGACGACAUCGACCGUACCCCGCGAAUCAGGCUCGGCUAACUCUGUGCCAGCAGCCGCGGUAAGACAGAGGAGCCAAGCGUUGUCCGGAUUGACUGGGCGUAAAGCGCACGCAGGCGGCUGGGCACGUGGGGUGUGAAACCUCGCGGCUUAACUGCCAGACGCCAUCUCAUACGGCCCGGCUCGAGGCAGGCAGAGGUUCGUGGAAUUGCCGGUGUAGUGGUGAAAUGCGUAGAGAUCGGCAAGAACACCAAGGGCGAAAGCAGCGAACUGGGCCUGUUCUGACGCUCAGGUGCGAAAGCGUGGGGAGCGAACCGGAUUAGAUACCCUGGUAGUCCACGCCGUAAACGAUGAAUGCUCGGCAUCUUUCGACCGAUUUUCGGCCGAGGGGUGCCCCAGCUAACGCGAUAAGUAUUCCGCCUGGGAACUACUAGCGCAAGCUUAAA
RNAcentral lists this ribosomal RNA (515 nucleotides) under uncultured Chloroflexota bacterium. Its description in RNAcentral is "bacterial SSU rRNA". It matches the Rfam family "Bacterial small subunit ribosomal RNA", at positions 370 to 898 of the family's 1533-position model. Lineage: Bacteria; Bacillati; Chloroflexota. The record is from RNAcentral.